This 440-nucleotide ribosomal RNA is filed under the name uncultured bacterium. Its description in RNAcentral is "partial 16S ribosomal RNA". It matches the Rfam family "Bacterial small subunit ribosomal RNA", at positions 338 to 795 of the family's 1533-position model. The record is from RNAcentral.
CCUACGGGAGGCAGCAGUGGGGGAUAUUGCACAAUGGGGGGAACCCUGAUGCAGCGACGCCGCGUGUGGGAAGACGGUCCUCUGGAUUGUAAACCACUGUCCCCAGGGACGAAAAUGACGGUACCUGGGGAGGAAGCUCCGGCUAACUACGUGCCAGCAGCCGCGGUAAUACGUAGGGAGCGAGCGUUGUCCGGAAUUACUGGGUGUAAUGGGAGCGUAGGCGGGGAUGCAAGUUGGGUGUAAAAACUACCGGCUCAACUGGUAGUCGCACUCGAAACUGCAGCUCUUGAGUGGAGUAGAGGCAGGCGGAAUGCCUGGUGUAGCGGUGAAAUGCGUAGAUAUUAGGAAGAACACCAGUGGCGAAGGCAGCCUGCUGGGCUUUUACUGACGCUGAGGCUCGAAAGUGUGGGGAGCAAACAGGAUUAGAUACCCCUGUAGUC